RNAcentral lists this ribosomal RNA (307 nucleotides) under uncultured fungus. RNAcentral describes it as "eukaryotic LSU rRNA". The stretch from base 1 to 52 matches the Rfam family "5.8S ribosomal RNA", at positions 103 to 154 of the family's 154-position model. Lineage: Eukaryota; Fungi. The record is from RNAcentral.
AACGCACCUUGCGCCCUUUGGUAUUCCGAAGGGCAUGCCUGUUUGAGUGUCAUUAAAUUAUCAACCUUGCGUGCUUUUACUAGUGUCGCUUGGCUUGGAUGUGAGGGUUUUGCUGGCUUCCUUCAGUGGAUUGGUCUGCUCCCUUUAAAUGCAUUAGUGGGAUCUCUUGUGGACCGUCACUUGGUGUGAUAAUUAUCUACGCUUUGAACCGUCUGUUGGUACCUAGUCGGUCUGGCUUCCAAUCGUCUUCGGACAAUACACCAUUCAUUUUGACCUCAAAUCAGGUAGGACUACCCGCUGAACUUAA